RNAcentral lists this ribosomal RNA (300 nucleotides) under uncultured Pyrobaculum sp. RNAcentral's name for it is "bacterial SSU rRNA". It matches the Rfam family "Bacterial small subunit ribosomal RNA", at positions 497 to 795 of the family's 1533-position model. Lineage: Archaea; Thermoproteati; Thermoproteota; Thermoprotei; Thermoproteales; Thermoproteaceae. The record is from RNAcentral.
CAAACUGCGUGCGAGCAGCCGGGGGAAUACGGAGGAUACAAGCUUUAUCCGUGUUUAUUGGGUUUAAAGGGGGCGUAGGCGGCCUAUUAAGUCAGUAGUGAAAGCUUGCAGCUUAACGGUUAAAACUGCUAUUGAUACUGAUGGGCUUGAGUGAGGUUGGAGUAGCUGGAAUGUGUGGUGUAGCGGUGAAAUGCAUAGAUAUCACACAGAACACCGAUCGCGAAGGCAAGUUACUAAGCCUAUACUGACGCUGAGGCACGAAAGCGUGGGGAGCAAAUAGGAUUAGAUACCCCAGUAGUC